RNAcentral lists this ribosomal RNA (486 nucleotides) under uncultured bacterium. RNAcentral's name for it is "partial 16S ribosomal RNA". The record is from RNAcentral.
UAUUCUGUUGGUAACGUCAAAACAGCAAGGUAUUAACUUACUGCCCUUCCUCCCAACUUAAAGCGCUUUACAAUCCGAAGACCUUCUUCACACACGCGGCAUGGCUGGAUCAGGCUUUCGCCCAUUGUCCAAUAUUCCCCACUGCUGCCUCCCGUAGGAGUCUGGACCGUGUCUCAGUUCCAGUGUGACUGAUCAUCCUCUCAGACCAGUUACGGAUCGUCGCCUUGGUAGGCCUUUACCCCACCAACUAGCUAAUCCGACCUAGGCUCAUCUGAUAGCGUGAGGUCCGAAGAUCCCCCACUUUCUCCCUCAGGACGUAUGCGGUAUUAGCGCCCGUUUCCGGACGUUAUCCCCCACUACCAGGCAGAUUCCUAGGCAUUACUCACCCGUCCGCCGCUGAAUCCAGGAGCAAGCUCCCUUCAUCCGCUCGACUUGCAUGUGUUAGGCCUGCCGCCAGCGUUCAAUCUGAGCCAGGAUCAAACCCUC